CAAAAACACAUAAAAACACACAGAUUCAGAUAUAGAAACAGAAAAUAACAGACACUAUGACAAGCAAAAACCCAUUCAGACAUGCAGGCACAGGUAGUGAGAGAGAAAAAAAACAAACACAAAGAUUCAGACAUACAAACAGACAAAGACAGACACUUUUACAAGUAAAACCCACUCAGACAGACAUGCACAGAGAGUGAGAGAAACAAAAAAGCACGCAAAAACACAGACUCAGACAUACAAGCAAAGAGAGACAAUGGGACAUAUAAACACCCACCCAAACACACGGGCCUAGAGAAUAAGAGAGACAAAGCCACAUAUAAACUCGAAGAUUCAGAAAUACAAAUAGACAAAGACAAACACUUGGACAAGCACACACCGCCCGU
Molecule: ribosomal RNA, 386 nt
Filed under: uncultured bacterium
Lineage: Bacteria
Description: partial 16S ribosomal RNA
Source: RNAcentral